AGUUCCGAAGUGAUUCACAUUAGAUUGCAAAUCUUAAAAAGCAGAAGGACUUCUGCCGGGGCUU
Molecule: transfer RNA, 64 nt
Filed under: Danionella mirifica
Lineage: Eukaryota; Metazoa; Chordata; Actinopteri; Cypriniformes; Danionidae
Description: tRNA-Cys
Source: RNAcentral